GCGACGAUUGGUAGCCGGACUGAGAGGUUGAACGGCCACAUUGGGACUGAGACACGGCCCAGACUCCUACGGGAGGCAGCAGUGGGGGAUAUUGCACAAUGGGGGAAACCCUGAUGCAGCGACGCCGCGUGGAGGAAGAAGGUUUUCGGAUUGUAAACUCCUGUCGUUAGGGACGAUAAUGACGGUACCUAACAAGAAAGCACCGGCUAACUACGUGCCAGCAGCCGCGGUAAAACGUAGGGUGCAAGCGUUGUCCGGAAUUACUGGGUGUAAAGGGAGCGCAGGCGGACCGGCAAGUUGGAAGUGAAAACUAUGGGCUCAACCCAUAAAUUGCUUUCAAAACUGCUGGCCUUGAGUAGUGCAGAGGUAGGUGGAAUUCCCGGUGUAGCGGUGGAAUGCGUAGAUAUCGGGAGGAACACCAGUGGCGAAGGCGACCUACUGGGCACCAACUGACGCUGAGGCUCGAAAGCAUGGGUAGCAAACAGGAUUAGAUACCCUGGUAGUCCAUGCCGUAAACGAUGAUUACUAGGUGUUGGAGGAUUGACCCCUUCAGUGCCGCAGUUAACACAAUAAGUAAUCCACCUGGGGAGUACGACCGCAAGGUUGAAACUCAAAGGAAUUGACGGGGGCCCGCACAAGCAGUGGAGUAUGUGGUUUAAUUCGAAGCAACGCGAAGAACCUUACCAGGUCUUGACAUCCGAUGCAUAGCUUAGAGAUAAGUGAAGUCCUUCGGGACAUCGAGACAGGUGGUGCAUGGUUGUCGUCAGCUCGUGUCGUGAGAUGUUGGGUUAAGUCCCGCAACGAGCGCAACCCUUAUUGCCAGUUACUACGCAAGAGGACUCUGGCGAGACUGCCGUUGACAAAACGGAGGAAGGUGGGGAUGACGUCAAAUCAUCAUGCCCUUUAUGACCUGGGCUACACACGUACUACAAUGGCGUUUAACAAAGAGAAGCAAGACCGCGAGGUGGAGCAAAACUCAAAAACAACGUCUCAGUUCAGAUUGCAGGCUGCAACUCGCCUGCAUGAAGUCGGAAUUGCUAGUAAUCGCGGAUCAGCAUGCCGCGGUGAAUACGUUCCCGGGCCUUGUACACACCGCCCGUCACACCAUGAGAGCCGGGGGGACCCGAAGUCGGUAGUCUAACCGUAAGGAGGACGCCGCCGAAGGUAAAACUGGUGAUUGGGGUGAAGUCGUAACAAGGUA
RNAcentral lists this ribosomal RNA (1201 nucleotides) under metagenome. Its description in RNAcentral is "bacterial SSU rRNA". It matches the Rfam family "Bacterial small subunit ribosomal RNA", at positions 273 to 1498 of the family's 1533-position model. The record is from RNAcentral.